Molecule: ribosomal RNA, 1540 nt
Filed under: Klebsiella variicola
Lineage: Bacteria; Pseudomonadati; Pseudomonadota; Gammaproteobacteria; Enterobacterales; Enterobacteriaceae
Also listed under: 1 other name
Description: bacterial SSU rRNA
Rfam family: Bacterial small subunit ribosomal RNA
Source: RNAcentral
AAAUUGAAGAGUUUGAUCAUGGCUCAGAUUGAACGCUGGCGGCAGGCCUAACACAUGCAAGUCGAGCGGUAGCACAGAGAGCUUGCUCUCGGGUGACGAGCGGCGGACGGGUGAGUAAUGUCUGGGAAACUGCCUGAUGGAGGGGGAUAACUACUGGAAACGGUAGCUAAUACCGCAUAACGUCGCAAGACCAAAGUGGGGGACCUUCGGGCCUCAUGCCAUCAGAUGUGCCCAGAUGGGAUUAGCUAGUAGGUGGGGUAACGGCUCACCUAGGCGACGAUCCCUAGCUGGUCUGAGAGGAUGACCAGCCACACUGGAACUGAGACACGGUCCAGACUCCUACGGGAGGCAGCAGUGGGGAAUAUUGCACAAUGGGCGCAAGCCUGAUGCAGCCAUGCCGCGUGUGUGAAGAAGGCCUUCGGGUUGUAAAGCACUUUCAGCGGGGAGGAAGGCGAUAAGGUUAAUAACCUUGUCGAUUGACGUUACCCGCAGAAGAAGCACCGGCUAACUCCGUGCCAGCAGCCGCGGUAAUACGGAGGGUGCAAGCGUUAAUCGGAAUUACUGGGCGUAAAGCGCACGCAGGCGGUCUGUCAAGUCGGAUGUGAAAUCCCCGGGCUCAACCUGGGAACUGCAUUCGAAACUGGCAGGCUAGAGUCUUGUAGAGGGGGGUAGAAUUCCAGGUGUAGCGGUGAAAUGCGUAGAGAUCUGGAGGAAUACCGGUGGCGAAGGCGGCCCCCUGGACAAAGACUGACGCUCAGGUGCGAAAGCGUGGGGAGCAAACAGGAUUAGAUACCCUGGUAGUCCACGCUGUAAACGAUGUCGAUUUGGAGGUUGUGCCCUUGAGGCGUGGCUUCCGGAGCUAACGCGUUAAAUCGACCGCCUGGGGAGUACGGCCGCAAGGUUAAAACUCAAAUGAAUUGACGGGGGCCCGCACAAGCGGUGGAGCAUGUGGUUUAAUUCGAUGCAACGCGAAGAACCUUACCUGGUCUUGACAUCCACAGAACUUUCCAGAGAUGGAUUGGUGCCUUCGGGAACUGUGAGACAGGUGCUGCAUGGCUGUCGUCAGCUCGUGUUGUGAAAUGUUGGGUUAAGUCCCGCAACGAGCGCAACCCUUAUCCUUUGUUGCCAGCGGUCCGGCCGGGAACUCAAAGGAGACUGCCAGUGAUAAACUGGAGGAAGGUGGGGAUGACGUCAAGUCAUCAUGGCCCUUACGACCAGGGCUACACACGUGCUACAAUGGCAUAUACAAAGAGAAGCGACCUCGCGAGAGCAAGCGGACCUCAUAAAGUAUGUCGUAGUCCGGAUUGGAGUCUGCAACUCGACUCCAUGAAGUCGGAAUCGCUAGUAAUCGUAGAUCAGAAUGCUACGGUGAAUACGUUCCCGGGCCUUGUACACACCGCCCGUCACACCAUGGGAGUGGGUUGCAAAAGAAGUAGGUAGCUUAACCUUCGGGAGGGCGCUUACCACUUUGUGAUUCAUGACUGGGGUGAAGUCGUAACAAGGUAACCGUAGGGGAACCUGCGGUUGGAUCACCUCCUUA